GAAGUUUUCAGAGAUGAGAAUGUGCCUUCGGGAACCGUGAGACAGGUGCUGCAUGGCUGUCGUCAGCUCGUGUUGUGAAAUGUUGGGUUAAGUCCCGCAACGAGCGCAACCCUUAUCCUUUGUUGCCAGCGAUUAGGUCGGGAACUCAAAGGAGACUGCCAGUGAUAAACUGGAGGAAGGUGGGGAUGACGUCAAGUCAUCAUGGCCCUUACGACCAGGGCUACACACGUGCUACAAUGGCGCAUACAAAGAGAAGCGACCUCGCGAGAGCAAGCGGACCUCAUAAAGUGCGUCGUAGUCCGGAUUGGAGUCUGCAACUCGACUCCAUGAAGUCGGAAUCGCUAGUAAUCGUGGAUCAGAAUGCCACGGUGAAUACGUUCCCGGGCCUUGUACACACCGCCCGUCACACCAUGGGAGUGGGUUGCAAAAGAAGUAGGUAGCUUAACCUUCGGGAGGGCGCUUACCACUUUGUGAUUCAUGACUGGGGUGAAGUCGUAACAAGGUAACCGUAGGGGAACC
This 519-nucleotide ribosomal RNA is filed under the name Salmonella enterica subsp. enterica serovar Bovismorbificans. RNAcentral's name for it is "bacterial SSU rRNA". It matches the Rfam family "Bacterial small subunit ribosomal RNA", at positions 993 to 1512 of the family's 1533-position model. The record is from RNAcentral. Lineage: Bacteria; Pseudomonadati; Pseudomonadota; Gammaproteobacteria; Enterobacterales; Enterobacteriaceae.